UCUUUCGUUACCUCUGUCUUGGAAGGCAGCCUAAAGGCCCUAAACUAUUCAACAACAGGGACUAUUAUCACAAAACUUGAGUACUAACAACAUAAAACAUGUCAUCGUCGCGUUUGGUAGAUGACAAAUAUUUAAUUAAUCAACUUACUUAACCUCCACACGACCCAUUCCAAAUGUAAGGUUCAAGUGGACCUAACGUAGAUUGCCAAAUGAAAAGAAAUAUUCAUAUACCCGAAAUCUCCUCAUUACAUCCACGUGGAGAGAUAGAGAGAAACAUUGUAAACUUCCAUUGCAGCUAAACACUUGUGAGUUACUGAAUCACGUAACAUCCAUUUACAGCAUGUACUGAUUUUUAGGGGGAGAUAUUCUACGGGAAGGGCGAUUCUAGAGCAAAAUUCUGCCACAAGAAACUGCGAGUUCUCAGCGAAUCUUCAAAGCAACCGAUGCCAAAUCGCUGGAAGGAACAUGGAGACAGUUCUUGAUAACAUACAUAUUGCAAAACUCAUGGAGAGAACACAGUUUCAAAAUGAUUCCGAGUGGUCUUGAAUCUUGGACCUGUAGUUAUGGUGUCUGAAGAACUAAGUUUAGUUCUUGAGCCUUUCUAGCUAUGAGACCU
This 616-nucleotide long non-coding RNA is filed under the name Brassica napus (rape). RNAcentral's name for it is "long non-coding RNA (BNAP_LNC026555)". Lineage: Eukaryota; Viridiplantae; Streptophyta; Magnoliopsida; Brassicales; Brassicaceae. The record is from RNAcentral.